Molecule: ribosomal RNA, 480 nt
Filed under: uncultured bacterium
Lineage: Bacteria
Description: bacterial SSU rRNA
Rfam family: Bacterial small subunit ribosomal RNA
Source: RNAcentral
AUUGAACGCUGGCGGCAUGCCUUACACAUGCAAGUCGAACGGCAGCACGGGAGCAAUCCUGGUGGCGAGUGGCGAACGGGUGAGUAAUAUAUCGGAACGUGCCCAGUCGUGGGGGAUAACGUAGCGAAAGCUACGCUAAUACCGCAUACGAUCUAUGGAUGAAAGCGGGGGAUCGCAAGACCUCGCGCGAUUGGAGCGGCCGAUAUCAGAUUAGGUAGUUGGUGAGGUAAAGGCUCACCAAGCCGACGAUCUGUAGCUGGUCUGAGAGGACGACCAGCCACACUGGGACUGAGACACGGCCCAGACUCCUACGGGAGGCAGCAGUGGGGGAAUUUUUGGACAAUGGGCGCAAGCCUGAUCCAGCCAUUCCGCGUGCAGGAUGAAAGGCCCUCGGGUUGUAAACUGCUUUGUACGGAACGAAAGGGUUUGUCUUAAUACGAUGAGCUCAUGACGGUACCGUAAGAAUAAGCACGGCUAACU